Molecule: long non-coding RNA, 574 nt
Filed under: Olea europaea (common olive)
Lineage: Eukaryota; Viridiplantae; Streptophyta; Magnoliopsida; Lamiales; Oleaceae
Description: long non-coding RNA (OEUR_LNC014036)
Source: RNAcentral
AAUAUUUUUCAUCUCCAUCCCACAAUUGCCACCGCCACCGCCGCCACCAUUAACACAACAUCAUCACCAUCGUCGUCAACCACCAACACUAGCAUGCCACUGUCGAAUAUUGCCACCACUCCACUAGUAGCACCAACAUCACCACCGUAGACAACAUCACAACCACCACCACUCAACUACAAACACCACCACAAUUUGCAAACCACAAUCAUCACCGUCCACAAACAACCACCCAGAGAAAAGUAUCCACACACAGAUCAAAAACCAUCCAUAGAAAGAAAACCACCAACAACUUACACACUGACCAAAAAAACCUAAUUUUUACUCGUCGCUGCUUCGUCGAUCGACUAGAGGAAUUUCUCAUCGCUGCUUCGUCGAUCAACUUGAGGAAUUUCUCGUCACUUCUUCGCCAAUCGACUGAAGGAAUUGCUGCUCAGCGAUAAUACCAUCAACGAUGCGCACGACGGUCCACCCAUCGACUCCGCCGCCAUAUUGUGCACAACGACACUUUAGAGAAGAUGAGCGCUAUGACAACACCAUCACCGCUUCACGCGACGAUCAGCCCAUAGACUCC